This 403-nucleotide ribosomal RNA is filed under the name uncultured bacterium. RNAcentral's name for it is "partial 16S ribosomal RNA". It matches the Rfam family "Bacterial small subunit ribosomal RNA", at positions 28 to 526 of the family's 1533-position model. The record is from RNAcentral.
GACGAACGCUGGCGGCGUGCCUAAUACAUGCAAGUCGAACGCAGUGGGGACGGGUGAGUAACACGUGGGUAACCUCCCAUCAGAGGGGAUAACACUUGGAAACAGGUGCUAAACCGAUACUGAUGGAUGGAACCGCGGUGCAUUAGCUAGUUGGUGAGGUAACGGCUAACCAAGGCCACGAUGCAUAGCCGACCUGAGAGGGCGAAGGGCCACACGGGGACUGAGACACGGCCCCGACUCCCACGGGAGGCAGCAGUAGGGAAUCUUUGGCAAGGGGCGAAAGUCUUACCGAGCCACGCCGCGUGAGUUAAGAAGGUUUUCGGAUCGUAAAUCUCUGUUGUUAGAGAAGCGUUAUCUAACCAGAAAGCCACGGCUAACUACGUGCCAGCAGCCGCGGUAAUAC